CCUACGGGUGGCAGCAGUGGGGAAUAUUGGGCAAUGGGCGCAAGCCUGACCCAGCAACGCCGCGUGAAGGAAGAAGGCCCUCGGGUUGUAAACUUCUUUUAUCAGGGACGAAACAAAUGACGGUACCUGAUGAAUAAGCCACGGCUAACUACGUGCCAGCAGCCGCGGUAAUACGUAGGUGGCAAGCGUUAUCCGGAUUUACUGGGUUUAAAGGGCGUGUAGGCGGUUCUGCAAGUCAGAGGUGAAAUCUCAUGGCUCAACAUUGGAACUGCAUUUGAUACUGUAGAGCUUGAGUGAUGGUGCGGCAGGCGGAAUUCAGUGUGUAGCGGUGAAAUGCGUAGAGAUAAGGAGGAACACCAGUGGCGAAGGCGGCCUGCUGGACAUUAACUGACGUUGAGGCGCGAAAGCGUGGGGAGCAAACAGGAUUAGAUACCCGGGUAGUC
RNAcentral lists this ribosomal RNA (443 nucleotides) under uncultured bacterium. RNAcentral's name for it is "partial 16S ribosomal RNA". It matches the Rfam family "Bacterial small subunit ribosomal RNA", at positions 338 to 795 of the family's 1533-position model. The record is from RNAcentral.